Carassius carassius (crucian carp) is the source of this 831-nucleotide long non-coding RNA. RefSeq lists it as uncharacterized. The transcript is spliced from 7 exons. NCBI's taxonomy places the organism in Eukaryota, Metazoa, Chordata, Actinopteri, Cypriniformes, Cyprinidae. The record is from RefSeq and is a predicted model, not a curated record.
CUUGCUUCUCUGCAGUAAUAAUUCUGAAAUAUUCAUCCUUCUUUUCUCUCUCCAUCUCCUCUGUCAUUUCCACAGUGCUCCUUCAACUGGCCAGUGAUGCUUUUCCCAAAGAUAUGACACUUGCCCUGGCCUAUUUACUAGCUUUACCUCAGGUGUUGGAUGCUAAAACGUGUUUUGAGAAGCAGCCUCCAUCAGCACUGUCUCUGCAAUUAGCCGCAUAUUACUACUCUCUUCAGAUCUGCUCCUGCCUCGCAUCCUGCUUUAAAGACAAGUGCAGCCCGCUUUGCCGGGCUGAUCCUAGAGAGCUUAUUCGUCUUGUGACCAAGCAUGUAAAAGACAACGCUGGAUGGGAUUGGGGAGAUGAGUAACUGCAGGCCCCGAUUAGUCAAUUGAGACUAUACAGUGAGAGACCGACAGAUUUGACUCAAGCUCAGGUGCUACAGGGACUCGGCCGUGGAGUUGAUGUGAAGACAUUUAGCAGCGACAACCAGUACAAGAAAGAGACUAUUCUGGGACAGGUGGAGUAGGACAUUGGAUAAGAGUGUGUAUGGGAUCUCUCGAUCUCUGGCUCAGCAGUACAGCAUCCCUCUCUGAGAAGUGCACAUGACACACCUCAAGUUUCUGUGAUAGCGGCAUCAGCAGACCUGCUGGAUGAAUGGACUUGGCAGUCAUUGAAGGCUUUCCACCAAAGACAUUGAGUACAGAAUGGAGGCUCUGGGCCUGUUUGAGACCCUAAAGACAGACCCAGAGUAAUUCUACAUGCACAUGACUAAAUACCUCAAACUGCUCAAGAAGCUCAAAACUAUUGCUGUUGGUCUGGACUAUAAGAAG